Molecule: ribosomal RNA, 253 nt
Filed under: uncultured bacterium
Lineage: Bacteria
Description: partial 16S ribosomal RNA
Rfam family: Bacterial small subunit ribosomal RNA
Source: RNAcentral
UACGGAAUGUGCAAACGUUAUUCGGAAUCACUGGGCUUAAAGAGUCCGUAGGCGGCUUGUUAGGUGAGGUGUGAAAUCCCUCGGCCCAGCCGAGGAAUUGCGCUUCAAACCGGCAAGCUAGAGGAGGAUAGAGGUGGGCGGAACUGAUGGUGGAGCGGUGAAAUGCGUUGAUAUCAUCAGGAACACCGGAGGCGAAGGCGGUCCACUGGGUCCUUUCUGACGCUGAGGGACGAAAGCUAGGGGAGCGAACGGG